UUGAUCCUGGCUCAGGACGAACGCUGGCGGCUUGCCUAACACAUGCAAGUCGAACGGGACUAAGACUGACACCAGAUAUUCAGGGCAACUGGUGGGGAAGAAAGAGCCAGUGAAGGUGAAUGGCUGGUGUUGGUUUUAGUUCAGUGGCGGACGGGUGAGUAACGCGUGAGUAACCUGCCUUUCAGAGGGGGAUAGCGUCUGGAAACGGACGGUAAUACCGCAUGACAUUCCGGUGCUGCAUGGUACUGGAAUCAAAGGAGCAAUCCGCUGGAAGAUGGACUCGCGUCCGAUUAGCCAGUUGGUGAGGUAACGGCCCACCAAAGCGACGAUCGGUAGCCGGACUGAGAGGUUGAACGGCCACAUUGGGACUGAGACACGGCCCAGACUCCUACGGGAGGCAGCAGUGGGGGAUAUUGCACAAUGGAGGAAACUCUGAUGCAGCAACGCCGCGUGAAGGAAGACGGUCUUCGGAUUGUAAACUUAGCUCCAGGGACGAUAAUGACGGUACCUGAGGAGGAAGCUCCGGCUAACUACGUGCCAGCAGCCGCGGUAAUACGUAGGGAGCGAGCGUUGUCCGGAUUUACUGGGUGUAAAAGGUGCGUAGGCGGCUGUUUAAGUCAGGUGUGAAAACCAUCGGCUCAACUGAUGGAUUGCAUUUGAAACUGAGCAGCUUGAGUGGAGCAGAGGCAGGUGGAAUUCCCGGUGUAGCGGUGAAAUGCGUAGAGAUCGGGAGGAACACCAGUGGCGAAAGCGGCCUGCUGGGCUUUAACUGACGCUGAGGCACGAAAGCAUGGGUAGCAAACAGGAUUAGAUACCCUGGUAGUCCAUGCCGUAAACGAUGAUUACUAGGGUUGGGGGGGGUCUGACCCCCUCCGUGCCGGAGUUAACACAAUAAGUAAUCCACCUGGGAAGUACGACCGCAAGGUUGAAACUCAAAGGAAUUGACGGGGGCCCGCACAAGCAGUGGAGUAUGUGGUUUAAUUCGACGCAACGCGAAAACCUUACCAGGUCUUGACAUCUGCCGGACCCGGCUGAAAAGCCGGGGUGCCCUUCGGGGAACGGCAAGACAAGGGGUGGCAUGGUUGUCGUCACUCUGUCUUGGAAAGAUGUUGGGUUAAGUCCCGCAACGAGCGCAACCCUUAUGAUUAGUUGCUACGCAAGAGCACUCUAAUCAGACUGCCGUUGACAAAACGGAGGAAGGUGGGGACGACGUCAAAUCAUCAUGCCCUUUAUGAUCUGGGCUACACACGUACUACAAUGGCCGUAAACAAAGGGACGCGAAACCGCGAGGCGGAGCGAACCCCAUAAAGGCGGUCACAGUUCGGAUUGCAGGCUGCAACUCGCCUGCAUGAAGCUGGAAUUGCUAGUAAUCGCGGAUCAUCAUGCCGCGGUGA
RNAcentral lists this ribosomal RNA (1394 nucleotides) under uncultured Ruminococcus sp. RNAcentral's name for it is "bacterial SSU rRNA". It matches the Rfam family "Bacterial small subunit ribosomal RNA", at positions 13 to 1365 of the family's 1533-position model. The record is from RNAcentral. Lineage: Bacteria; Bacillati; Bacillota; Clostridia; Eubacteriales; Oscillospiraceae.